NAAAAAGUUCAAACUACCCCUAUUUGAAAAGAUUUUGGGUUCGGGGGUUAGUUACACAAAGGGAAGGUAUUAGCACCCUUUAUGUCCGUAGUACUCUACGGGAACCUCUUGGUUUUAUUUAAUUUAAUGUGCUAUAACUUUUUUGCUUUUGAAAAGAAGGAAUUAAUGUGAUGAAAAGGAAUAUAAAGUGAGACCUAAUUUAUCUACAUUUUUAUUGUUUGGAAGGACAUGGUCCUCUGCCUACGUACCCGUGAAGGAUCAAAACCUCGUAUUUCGGGGUAGAAAUUGAAGUUUGAUUGGUUGUGUGUUUUUUAUUAGUUUUGAAAAAGGUUUUAAAAGGAAAAGCCAAAUGGCAAAAUAAAUUUGUUUGUGUUUUUUAUGUUAAAAGAAAAUGACUUAAAGUAUGAUUAAAGUUGAUUGCAAUUUGAUUUAUGAAAGAAAUAAAAUAAAAGACGAUCACUUGAUUUGGAUCAAGGUUUAUUGUGAAAAAUGUUUUUUGUGAUUUUUGUUAUUUGCAUGUUUUUUGUUGUUUUUGAAUAAUGGCUAAACU
Molecule: long non-coding RNA, 550 nt
Filed under: Medicago truncatula (barrel medic)
Lineage: Eukaryota; Viridiplantae; Streptophyta; Magnoliopsida; Fabales; Fabaceae
Description: long non-coding RNA (MTRU_LNC004100)
Source: RNAcentral